CCCCUAGAUGUCCUGGGCCGCACGCGCGCUACACUGAACAGUUCAACAAGUCUUAACCUUGGCCGAUAGGUCUGGGUAAUCUUUGAACGCUGUUCGUGAUUGGGAUAGACCUUUGCAAUUAUGGGUCUUCAACGAGGAAUUCCUAGUAAACGCAAGUCAUCAGCUUGCAUUGAUUACGUCCCUGCCCUUUGUACACACCGCCCGUCGCACCUACCGAUUGAAUGGUCCGGUGAAGCCUCCGGAUUGGCGCGCACCUCGGUGCCGCCGAGAAGUUGGCUAAACCUUACCAUUUAGAGGAAGGUGAAGUCGUAACA
Molecule: ribosomal RNA, 314 nt
Filed under: uncultured eukaryote
Lineage: Eukaryota
Description: partial 18S ribosomal RNA
Rfam family: Eukaryotic small subunit ribosomal RNA
Source: RNAcentral